RNAcentral lists this ribosomal RNA (262 nucleotides) under uncultured bacterium. RNAcentral describes it as "partial 16S ribosomal RNA". It matches the Rfam family "Bacterial small subunit ribosomal RNA", at positions 524 to 776 of the family's 1533-position model. The record is from RNAcentral.
UACGUAGGGGCGCAAGCCGUUGUCCGGAUUUAUUGGGCGUAAAGAGCUCGUAGGCGGCUUGUCGCGUCGACUGUGAAAACCCACGGCUCAACUGUGGGCUUGGCAUUCGAUACGGGCAGGCUAGAGUUCGGUAGGGGAGACUGGAAAUUCCUGGUGUAGCGGUGAAAUGCGCAGAUAUCAGGAGGAACACCCGGUGGGCGGAAGGCUGGGGUCUCUGGGCCGAUACUGACGCUGAGGAGCGAAAGCGUGGGGAGCGAACAGG